AGUGUCGCAUGCGUUAACUCCAUGGUCCGCGGCGUCCGGGGCGGCCUUCUCGCUCGCGGGAUGCUGUGGUUGGCCGACGUGGUGGUUCGGGCCAUUCUGCUGCCUCGGCUGCUGUGUCUGGUCGAUCCGUACGUAUGGAGGAUGCUCCUGCAUCUCAUCAUCGGUCGUUCUGUUGGGGUGGCCGUUCUGUAGGAUCUUCUGGUUCUGCAUGUGGCCGCUCCUUGCCGUUUUCUGGUUCUGGAUGCACGGCGGAUUUUGCGUCGUGAUUUGGGUCUUCUCUCACCGCUCGAGCUUUGGGCACGACCAGCAGAGGAAGACGACCGGCCAUCGGCAACGGAAGACGAGGUGGGCAGCCGCUCCAAGCACGAUAUCAUGUUCCAAGUGAGCGGAUGUCCACGGAGGCGCGCGCGAUGAUGAGGGUGUUCGCGUCUGGAGGUGAUGGCUGCAGGAGUCUCCCGGACAGUGAGACUGGACGUGAUGGUGCCAGCGAUCGGUGAGGUCCCGACGGCGUGCAGCGUGGCUUGCACCGGAGCUGGCGAGGCCAUGGCGACGGUGAGCACGGGGCACGCAGACACAGCAAGGCCAUGGAGUGGCUCAUGAAACGUGUCGAUCGGUGCGGGUCGGCCGUGGGCGGUGUGCUUCGGCAAAGCUCACGUCGCUACUGUGGCGGGUAAUCUCCGUUUGCGCCGUCUGUGCAUGAUGUACGUGUUCGGGUUCACGCAGUGCAGGGAACAUGUUGUCCGUGACCUUCCUUGGCAAGCGGACGCCAAGUUCGGUUUCGGACCAUCGCCUACGUCCUGGUCCAUGACGGCGCGCGGAGGCGGCGCCCUCUUCUGUAGUGUCCAAUGUUAGUGCACUGGUCUGCGCUGCCGAGGGACGUCUCCUUGUCCCACCCCGGGGAGCAUGGGCGUCCUUCCGUUCGGCCGUCACUGCAGAACGCGGUGAGGUAUCAUCUUCCCGUUUCGAUUCAUCCCAUACUAAAUACCUCCAUCCUUACAUGUAUGGUUGUAUCUCAAAUUCGUCAUGCGUGAUGAAUGAUUUUCUAGGUUCGCGUAGUUUACAUUUGCUUUUUUAGUUUGGUUGAUUCCAUGUGUAAAUGGACUGAGGAGUGAUGAGAGAGGGAGAGGCGGAGAAGGGGCCACCUGAGGCGGCCGGACUACCGCCGCCGCUUCCUCGAUCCUCGCCAGGCGGAGGUGCAGGCGCACAUCAGAUCCAUCUGUGCUCUCUUAGUCCCCUAGCGGCGGCGCCGUCAGGAGGAAAGGAGGGGCCAACGGGAUCGGGUGAUGACCGCGGCGACCUGCCGCAUGGUGAGAUCGGACGGGAGAAGGCACGAUGGGUACAAUGGCGGGCGAUCUUCUCCGACGAGACGGAUCCGGUCAUUUGGAUCGAAGGACGUCUUCGAUUUACUCCACGUUCGUGAUGGAUGGCUCUUCUCGAUCUAGAGAACGACGUCCUCGCUGCUGGAUUUAGCUGGAUUUACACCCGAAGGCACCGGAGAUGAUUGAUCUGAUGGGGCCGAUGGUUCAUACACAACCGGGAGGACGGUUUUGGGCGCUUCUGGAGAGCGACGACGAAGAGCAGGUGGAGGGUCAUGUCCCCAUGAAGAAUUCCGGAAUGCCCCUGGCCUCGCAGAGUGUUGUUUCGUUGCCGGAGCCCAAGAUCACGACCAAUCGGCGUUGUUCAAAAAUUCAAACUUCCAAACCGGCCAUGAAGCCGUGGAGCGGACCGAUUCCUAAGGUAAUGAGAGAACCGGUAACGUUGUCAGAUUUCUUGCCGGAAAAUUGGACUCUUGUCACGUGGAAAGAAGAAAGGCAAGAUUGGCCGGCCACCGCCGCCGCCUAGAUCGCCGGUGGCGAGAUCGGCGAGCGUUGUUCGAGCGGCCACACGGACUCGUUUGAACACGUUAUUGGGCCGUAGGCCUGAGCUGGAUGCAACGUCGGACGUUACGAUGGUCGUGGGUCCUCCAGGCGCGGGCGAGGCCCAGCCAAAGGCCCAAGCCUCGUGCCAUCCUGAUCGGACAUACGUGCAUGUAUCGCCGCUGCCUGUCGUCUCUACGAGCGAGUCUAGGGUUCCAGGUCCGGGUUUUCCUUCGCUCGGCACAGGACGGGCAAGGAGGAUCAUGUAUGCUGGCGGCAUGGCAGGACAAGGGCCGCCGCCCGUCAAGCGAGGCCCAGCUCCCGCCGGUGGCACUUUUUCUCCUGGCGGGGCUAGUCGUGGAACUUUGCCGGCCAAUAGGGCUGCCGCCACGGGCGCGGUCGGUCGUGCCGCUACGCCGAUCGCUGGCGCUGGUGCUGUUGGCCACGGUGCCCUGCCUGUGGGUGGUGUUGGCCACGGUGCCCCGCCUAGUGGUGGGGUUAGCGGUGUUGGACGGGGCGGCUUGCCCCCUCCAAGGCCAGCGGUUGGGGGAGGGGUGCAACCCUGAGUCGGGAUCGGCCGGGGUGUUUCGUCCUCUGCGCGGCAGGGGGGGCGAUGCAUCUGGUUCUCUGGUGCCGACGCAUGUGCCCAGACCAAACGCGCGCCAACCGGAUGAAGUGGUGCCGCUACCAGCAGCUAAGGCGCCGGCCCUAGGAAGGGUUCGCAGCGUGCAAGGGCGUGGUGGAUACAGUGGUUACAACAAAGACGGACAGAAUUUCAACCGAUGCAUAUGGUGAGGGACUACACCGUGGAUCUUUGUCCGGUGGCGGCCGUGGAUAUAACCGACAUAAUGAUGAGGACACCAGACAUUUUCAAGGUCCGCCCGGUAAUUUUGUUGAAGGUGUUGCCGGACCCAGGGAUCGCUUCCGAGGUGGAUAUCGCCGCGGUGGGAGAGGGAGACGCCCACCACCGCCUCGACACUACCCACUGCCACCAGCGCCUGCUACGGAUAUGGCUUCGGGGGAGGAGCUCGAGCACGUAGCGGAUGAGGUGGGAGACCCAUCCACGCUACCCGCAGCGGCAGUUGACGCGGUUAGGGCUUUGGCAGCAGUGUAGGUUCCGGUGACUUCUGGAGAGACUAAAUCUAGGGAUGGCGUGUCUGACAAAGGGUCGGAGAAAGCGGAGGGAGAAAAACUCUCUAAAUGGGCGAUUAAGAAGAAAAAGUUGCCUUGCUAUAGAUGUGGUGAACCAGGUCAUUUCGUGGCAGAGUGUAUGAAUGAACUUUGUGACUAUUGCCAGCGCUCACAGCAUGUGACCGGGGACUACCCUCUCCUCUUCGGUCCUAAGCCUGGUAUUAACAUUUUUGAGGUCUGUUGUAAAGAGUUGAUGUUCUUUGAGACACCAGAGGUGGACCCUCUAUCGCAGAUGGUUAAGAGUUCCUUCCCGGCAGUAAUCAGAGUUACUAAUGGACAGUUGACCGAGGCUCAGAUCGUGAGACAGCUACGUGACUUAGUGCCAUGUAAUUAUCAAUGGCAUCUGGAACAGUUAGAAGGUCGGACUUAUAAGGUGGACUUUCCAACUAAAGAGGAUCAGAUGCAUUUUCUUAAGUGGGGUCUAUGCAGAGUCACAAGCACCAACGUCAUUAUCGCUUUCGACGAGUGGAAGUAGGAGGAACCGGAGGGUACACCUUUGGAGAAGGUGUGGGUUUGUUUCUAUGGCGCGCCACCUAAAUGGAUAAAGCAGUUUUUGAUUGCUUGGAGCUUGGGUGCUAUGAUUGGUAAGAUAGAAAAGGUUGACAUGCCAUUCACUCAUGCACAAGGAGUUGCGAGGUUGUUGGUCAGUGUUGUGAGUGUUGAGCAUAUACCAGAUGUGGUUAGAUGAACACAUGCUGGAGUCACUUAUGUAUUAGAGCUUGAGAUCGAGGAUACUGCAGUUUCCCAGGAUGGGGACGGGACACGGGACAUGGAUACGACUGAGGGAGGCGACGCGCCCGGGAAUCAGGAUAAGGGGGCCGAUGAUACACUGCCGGAGUCGUACAAGGGGCCUACUACACACCCAGAUAAGGUAUAUAGUUCUACCAAAGAGGCGCCCCCGUCCACUACUCCGAUGAACACGCUUCGCUUUGGUUCAUUUGCACCGGGGUCCGCUCCUAGUCGGUUAUGAAGCACCAGGGUCGAGGCAGAUGACCCAGCGGAGCUUGAGCUGCCACCAGUGCCGAGUCUGGCCGGCAAGGUGACGGCUACAGAGUCUACACCCGGUGCGAGGGUGGACCCUGAUGGGUCGGCCGCGGGUAUGGGGGUCGUGGGCAGGAAGCCCUUAGCACCCAGUUACAUGCGCCCGACUUCUCUUCGAUGGGAGGGGCGCCUGGACAGGAGGUCGCUGGCGUUCUUCUCACUUCGGCAUCUCCGGUCGAGCUGGGGGUGAGGUGCGGGAAGGAGUCCCGUGCUGUAACCCCUCCACAGGACCCCACCAUCCAGAGUGGCGAGCUGGGGGUGAGGUAUGGGAAGGAGUCCCGUGUCGUAACCCCUCCGCAGGAUUGUGCCUUGCAGGUUGGCCGGGGGACGACGGUUUCUACGGGGGAAAGGGGGGACGGGACCAGUGAGCAGGCGUCUCCAUGGUCCCACUCACCCUUGACCUCUACAGCUGAGGUCCGCUCCACUACGCCCUACCCUUCUUCACCAACGAUAAGGGAGGGCGUGGGAGUCCUGACCGUACCCCUCGAGAGAGGACGACGGAGGAGCUCAUCGCUUUUCGCAGGAUAGCGGAUCUGGUGUCGGCUGGUAGGCGUGUCAGCAACCGGAUCCAGGGACAGCCGGAUGCGGACGACCUGCAGCUAGCGCGUGCCAAGAGGGCCGCCAUGCUUCGUCAUGCCGAGACUACUGCAGGUGCGUCUUUUGAUAAAAGUUGCUCAAUUUUACACUUCUCUGAGAAUGAAAUAGUUGAUAAGGCAAACGACUUAGGAAUUUCUUUGGGAUCAAAUGAAACAGAGGUCGUCAAAUCUGUUAAUGAUAUUUUA
Molecule: long non-coding RNA, 4870 nt
Organism: Triticum urartu
Lineage: Eukaryota; Viridiplantae; Streptophyta; Magnoliopsida; Poales; Poaceae
Source: RefSeq, a predicted model, not a curated record